This 258-nucleotide ribosomal RNA is filed under the name uncultured bacterium. Its description in RNAcentral is "partial 16S ribosomal RNA". It matches the Rfam family "Bacterial small subunit ribosomal RNA", at positions 96 to 348 of the family's 1533-position model. The record is from RNAcentral.
UGGCGGACGGGUGAGUAAUGUCUGGGAAACUGCCUGAUGGAGGGGGAGUAACUACUGGAAACGGUAGCUAAUACCGCAUAACGUCGCAAGACCAAAGAGGGGGACCUUCGGGCCUCUUGCCAUCAGAUGUGCCCAGAUGGGAUUAGCUAGUAGGUGGGGUAACGGCUCACCUAGGCGACGAUCCCUAGCUGGUCUGAGAGGAUGACCAGCCACACUGGAACUGAGACACGGUCCAGACUCCUACGGGAGGGCAGCAUG